ACUUGAAAUGGAGUGAUUGCUGCCUGCUGUUGGUUUUUCGAGCCACAUUUGGAGUUGGGUUUGUUGGUAAGAAACUGCUGCAUUUUGGAUCAUUUGGCUGCUGAACUUCAGGGGCAACCCCCUGAUUGCAUACUAAAGGACGCAAAAAACACCAGCAAGCUAAGUUAUUCAAGUUUGCUUGGGAGCAUUAAUCCUAUGAGCAGAUCUAGAGUUUAUCAAGCUUUGGCAGAAGAAGAUAUUGAAGCUGAUGCCAAGGGCAAUGAUGUUGAUCUCAGUCUGAUAUUGAUCAAUGUGAAGCAUAUUACGAAGCUGCUAGGGGAACAAGGAAGAGAAGAAUAUAUGGUCUUGGAUCUCAAGCACAAAGUUAUCUGCUUUUUGUUGGAAAGAACAAAAUUAUGCACUAACAAUACUUGAUGGAUGUGUGGGUUCUUUUGGUAGUUGACAGCUUGGUGUUGUCGGUGUUUUGGACUUAACGAUUAGGAUUUCGCUAUCUAUUUUGAAUCUUUUUUAUAAAUAUUAUUUUAUGUGAAUGUCAGUUAUUUUUAAGGGUAUUUAUUACUUUGUAUUUA
Molecule: long non-coding RNA, 569 nt
Organism: Lycium barbarum (goji berry)
Lineage: Eukaryota; Viridiplantae; Streptophyta; Magnoliopsida; Solanales; Solanaceae
Exons: 3
Source: RefSeq, a predicted model, not a curated record